AGCAGCCGCGGUAAUUCCAGCUCCAAUAGCGUAUAUUAAAGUUGUUGCAGUUAAAAAGCUCGUAGUUGAAUUUCGGGAUCAAUAUGUCGGUCGUGCCUUCGGUACGUACUGGUAUCAUUGGUCUCUCCUUUCUGACGAACCAUGAUGUCAUUAAUUUGGUGUUAUGGGGAGUUAGGACUGUUACUUUAGAAAAAUUAGAGUGUUUAAAGCAGGCUUUAGCUUGAAUACAUUAGCAUGGAAUAAUGAAAUAGGACGUUCGAACCUAUUUUGUUGGUUUCUAGGAUCAACGUAAUGAUUAAUAGGGAUAGUUGGGGGCAUUAGUAUUCAAUUGUCAGAGGUGAAAUUCUUGGAUUUAUUGAAGACUAACUACUGCGAAAGCAUUUGCCAAGGAUGUUUUCAUUAAUCAAGAACGAAAGUUAGGGGAUCGAAGACGAUCAGAUACCGUCGUAG
This 450-nucleotide ribosomal RNA is filed under the name uncultured Glomus. RNAcentral's name for it is "SSU rRNA". It matches the Rfam family "Eukaryotic small subunit ribosomal RNA", at positions 569 to 1023 of the family's 1831-position model. The record is from RNAcentral. Lineage: Eukaryota; Fungi; Glomeromycota; Glomeromycetes; Glomerales; Glomeraceae.